AAGCAAAUGGAACGGCACAUCAUCACACAAACACUUCCCGUUCCCACGCACGCACGCGAUGGCCACCUCCGCCGCGCCUGCGUCGCCGCACGCCCUCUUCCUCCCCUACCCGGCGCAGGGCCACGUCAUCCCGUUCAUGGAGCUCGCCCACCGCUUCCUCGACCGCGGCUUCGCCGUCACCUUCGUCAACACCAAGUUCAACCACCGCCGCGUCGUCGCAGUUGCCGGCGGCGCGACGACGGCGUACUCUUCGGCGGGAGGAGGGCGGCUGCGUCUCGUCGCGGUGGACGACGGGAUAGACGACGCCGGGGACCACGAGAACCUGAUCCUGCUCAACGCCGCCAUGCAGGAGGCCAUCCCGCCGCAGCUGGAGGCGCUUAUCGACGGCGAGGAUGCGGCUGGCCAGGGGCUGGGAAAGGUGACAUGCAUGGUGGUCGACUCCGGCAUGUCGUGGGCGCUGGAUGUUGUGAAGCGUCGGGGGCUCCCGUCGGCCGCGCUCUGGCCGGCGUCUGCGGCCGUGCUCUCGGUGCUGGUCAACGCCAAGAGACUGAUACGCGAUGGCGUCAUCGAUGACGACGGAGCACCCGUUAACUUGAAGAACAACUCAUUCAAUCUCAACGAGUCCACAACGUCCAUGGACGCGACCUUCCUCGCCUGGAAUUACAUGGGCAACCGUGACGCCGAGCGCCUGGUGUUCCACUACCUCACCUCCACCGCGCAGGCCGCCGCAGCGAAGGCCGACUUCCUCCUCUGCAACACGUUCUCCGACAUCGAGCCGGCCGUCUUCGCCGGCCCCACGCCGGCUACCAUCCUCCCCAUCGGCCCGCUCCGCACAUGGCAGCGGCCGACGAGACAUGCGCCCGUGGGGCACUUCUGGCACCCCGACGACGACGCCUGCAUGUCCUUCCUGGACGCGCAACCCCGCGGAUCCGUCGUGUACGUGGCGUUCGGAAGCAUCAGCAUCAUGACCGCGGCGCAGCUUGAGGAGCUCGCGCUCGGGCUCGAGGCCUCCGGCCGGCCGUUCCUGUGGGUCGUCAGGCCUGAGCAGGCCGGCAAGCUCCCAGCCGGGUUUGCGGACGCCAUUGACGGGCUCGGGAAGGGCAAAGUGGUCGGCUGGGCACCGCAGGAGCAGGUGCUGGGGCACCCUGCGGUGGGCUGCUUUGUUACACACUGCGGGUGGAACUCCACGCUAGAGGGCAUCCGCAAUGGACUGCCCAUGCUAUGCUGGCCAUACUUCACCGACCAGUUCACGAACCAGACAUAUAUAUGUGACAUCUGGAGGGUCGGGCUACGGGUUGCGUCGGCCGAGGGUGGCCGGCUGGUGAUGAAGGAGAGGGUCGUGGAGCUGCUGGAUAGGAUUUUCGAGGACGAAAGUGCCAAGGAAAGAGUGCUGAGGUUGAAGGAAAUGGCGGAGAAAAACAUGAGCGAAGAAGGCCAGUCGUUGAACAAUCUGAAUGUGCUGAUGGAGUCCAUGGGAAGGUAGAUGUUGUACAGGAUGGUUGUUGGUUCACGUGUCAACGUUGUGUGGGCUAUGAUCAGUAUUGAGCUUUCUCAUUGUUUAGCACCUGGAAUAAAUGGAGCAUGGUGUAAGCCUUUGCCAGGCGCUUCAGACCCUUUCAUCGCCGAGCUACUGGCCUUUCGGGAGGGGGUCAUCUUCGCCCAACUCCGAGGUUUCUCACAUGUGAUCAUGGAGGUGGACUGCUCACAGUUGGUCGACCUCUGGAACUCGCGAGGCAAUUCUAGAUCGGUUGCUUCGCCCAUCUUUAGAGAGUUAGCGGACUACAUCGUUACUUUUACUUCUUUUUCGGUUCGACAUGUUGGUAGGGAACAAAAUGUGCCGGCCCAUCUUUGUGCUCAGCGUGCCUGUACACUUGAUGGGACGGAAUGCUGGCUUGAGAGCAGCCCGGAUUUUAUCCGACCCAGCCUACGGGCAGAUUGUAACCGACUACUGUUAUUUUGAAUAAAGUCCGAACUUCGAUGCAAAAAAAAAAACUUACAAUUACAAUUAUCUAAGGGACGCGUUUUUCAUACUUAGGGCUCCUUUGAUUCAGAGGAAUUGUACAGGAUUUUUAGAGGAUUGAAAUCCUUAGAAAUUUUUCAUCCUUUGAUUCGUAGGAUUGGAUCCCAUAUAAAUUAUUUCAAUGUAAUCUUUUGUACUACAAUCCAUAGAAAAUCUAACGUCCACUCCAACAUCUCCUUACAAUUCCUUUGUUUUUCCUUUGGCCUUAAACACUCCUUGCUAAUCCUGUAAACGCAAAAGAAUUGUGGAUUUUGAAAUAACAAGGUUGGUUCUUAAUUCCAACACCAUUAUAGAUUCUUGUGAAUGUUAUUCAUCAGCGUUGUAUGAAAAGAUACCAUAAAAAUACAAAAAAGAUAAAAAAGGAAACCAAACACUAAAAAAAAGAU
This is an RNA transcript of Aegilops tauschii subsp. strangulata, 2406 nucleotides long. It is a transcript of the gene named UDP-glycosyltransferase 83A1, with no coding region annotated. NCBI's taxonomy places the organism in Eukaryota, Viridiplantae, Streptophyta, Magnoliopsida, Poales, Poaceae. The record is from RefSeq and is a predicted model, not a curated record.